RNAcentral lists this ribosomal RNA (407 nucleotides) under uncultured bacterium. Its description in RNAcentral is "partial 16S ribosomal RNA". It matches the Rfam family "Bacterial small subunit ribosomal RNA", at positions 30 to 526 of the family's 1533-position model. The record is from RNAcentral.
AUUGAACGCUAGCGGGAUGCCUUACACAUGCAAGUCGAACGGAGUGGCGAACGGGUGAGUAAUGUAUCGGUACGUGCCCAGUAGCGGGGGAUAACUACGAGAAAGCGUAGCUAAUACCGCAUACUCUUGGAGCGGCCGAUACGGGAAUAGCUAGUUGGUUGGGUAACGGCGCACCAAGGCGACGAUCCGUACCUGGUUUGAGAGGAUGACCAGCCACACUGGGACUGAGACACGGCCCAGACUCCUACGGGAGGCAGCAGUGGGGAAUUUUGGACAAUGGGGGAAACCCUGAUCCAGCCAUCCCGCGUGUGCGAUGAAGGCCUUCGGGUUGUAAAGCACUUUUGGCAGGAAAGCGGUACCUGCAGAAGAAGCACCGGCUAACUACGUGCCAGCAGCCGCGGUAAUUC